GCCCGCCUAGCUCAAUCGGAUAGAGCGUCAGACUCUUACCUGACAGGCGGUGAUCUGAAGGCUGCGAGUUCGACCCUCGCGGUGGGCU
RNAcentral lists this transfer RNA (88 nucleotides) under Schizophyllum amplum. RNAcentral's name for it is "Auriculariopsis ampla tRNA". It matches the Rfam family "tRNA". Rfam says of the family: Transfer RNA (tRNA) molecules are approximately 80 nucleotides in length. Lineage: Eukaryota; Fungi; Basidiomycota; Agaricomycetes; Agaricales; Schizophyllaceae. The record is from Rfam by way of RNAcentral.